Molecule: long non-coding RNA, 244 nt
Organism: Gopherus flavomarginatus (Mexican gopher tortoise)
Lineage: Eukaryota; Metazoa; Chordata; Testudines; Testudinidae
Exons: 3
Source: RefSeq, a predicted model, not a curated record
CGCCGGCCGGAGCGCAGGGCAGCGGGUGCGCUCGCAGCAGGCCGGGGCAAAUAAACUUUCCCUCAGAGGCGUGGUUUCUUGAAAUGAGGGGGUGGUCUCGGAAGGAAAGUCUGGGAACAGGGCUUUACCAGAAAAAGAACGUGAGGCGAGAGGCAAUACGGCCAGUGCCACAAACUCAUACUGGGAUCUGAGAGAGCCAAGCUGAUCCUCCGCCACGCCCACCUUCUUCUGAAUGAUAAUUUAG